This 459-nucleotide ribosomal RNA is filed under the name uncultured bacterium. RNAcentral describes it as "partial 16S ribosomal RNA". It matches the Rfam family "Bacterial small subunit ribosomal RNA", at positions 338 to 795 of the family's 1533-position model. The record is from RNAcentral.
CCUACGUGCGGCAGCAGUGAGGCAUAUUGGUCAAUGGGCGGGAGCCUGCACCAGCCAAGUCGCGUGCGGGACGACGGUCCUAUGGCUUGUACACCUCUUUUGUCGGGGAACAAAGGCGCCCACUGGUGGUCGGAUUAGUGUACCCGACUAAAAAGCAUCGGCUAACUCCUUGCCAGCAGCCUCGGUAAUACGGAGGAUGCGAGCGUUAUCCGGAGUUAUUGGGUUUAAAGGGUGCGUAGGCGGACAGUCAAGUCAGCGGUAAAAAUGCGGUGCUCAACGCCGUACAGCCGUUGAAACUGGCAGUAGUGAGUGGGCGAGAAGUAUGCGGAAUGAGUGGUGUAGCGGUGAAAUGCAUAGAUAUCACGCAGAACUCCGAUUGCGAAGGCAGCAUACCGGCGCCCGACUGACGCUGAGGCACGAAAGCGUGGGUAUCGAACAGGAUUAGAUACCCCAGUAGUC